Molecule: transfer RNA, 64 nt
Filed under: Brachionus plicatilis
Lineage: Eukaryota; Metazoa; Rotifera; Eurotatoria; Ploima; Brachionidae
Description: tRNA-Lys
Source: RNAcentral
GAGUUAGUAAGAUAAUCCUAAAUCUUUGAGUCUUUUAAACUUAAAAUGCCACAGGCCUAACUUA